RNAcentral lists this long non-coding RNA (265 nucleotides) under Elaeis guineensis (African oil palm). RNAcentral's name for it is "long non-coding RNA (EGUI_LNC005543)". Lineage: Eukaryota; Viridiplantae; Streptophyta; Magnoliopsida; Arecales; Arecaceae. The record is from RNAcentral.
CCACCCCAAUAAUCCGGCAUACGCUAUUUAAAAUAAGCAAUGAGAGGAGGUAUUCUAAGAUUAAGUCUCUAUAAUUAUAUCAUAUUUCCUACUCAUGGUUCUUCCAUUUUAUUGCCGUAUAAAUUAUUGGAGGACAACAAAUUGCCAUUAAUUUGAUUGCUAUGUUCUUCCUCUCACCAACGCAUCAAAGAGACCCACAAGCUAACCUAUCCAUCUGGAGACAGCAUUUUUUGUAUUAAGUUAUUUCUUUUUUCUUUAAAGCAUU